GACGAACGCUGGCGGCGUGCUUAACACAUGCGAGUCGAACGGAAAGGCCCUGCUUUUGUGGGGUGCUCGAGUGGCGAACGGGUGAGUAACACGAGAGUAACCUGCCCUUGACUUUGGGAUAACUUCAGGAAACUGGGGCUAAUACCGGAUAGGAGCUCCUGCUGCAUGGUGGGGGUUGGAAAGUUUCGGCGGUUGGGGAUGGACUCGCGGCUUAUCAGCUUGUUGGUGGGGUAGUGGCUUACCAAGGCUUUGACGGGUAGCCGGCCUGAGAGGGUGACCGGCCACAUUGGGACUGAGAUACGGCCCAGACUCCUACGGGAGGCAGCAGUGGGGAAUAUUGCACAAUGGGCGGAAGCCUGAUGCAGCAACGCCGCGUGCGGGAUGACGGCCUUCGGGUUGUAAACCGCUUUCGCCUGUGACGAAGCGUGAGUGACGGUAAUGGGUAAAGAAGCACCGGCUAACUACGUG
This 468-nucleotide ribosomal RNA is filed under the name uncultured bacterium. RNAcentral's name for it is "partial 16S ribosomal RNA". It matches the Rfam family "Bacterial small subunit ribosomal RNA", at positions 28 to 507 of the family's 1533-position model. The record is from RNAcentral.